UACGUAGGGGGCAAGCGUUGUCCGGAAUCAUUGGGCGUAAAGAGCGUGUAGGCGGCUUGGUAAGUCCGCUGUGAAAGUCCAGGGCUCAACCCUGGAAAGCCGGUGGAAACUGUCAAGCUUGAGUCCGGAAGAGGCGAGUGGAAUUCCUGGUGUAGCGGUGAAAUGCGCAGAUAUCAGGAGGAACACCAAUUGCGAAGGCAGCUCGCUGGGACGUUACUGACGCUGAGACGCGAAAGCGUGGGGAGCAAACAGG
Molecule: ribosomal RNA, 253 nt
Filed under: uncultured bacterium
Lineage: Bacteria
Description: partial 16S ribosomal RNA
Rfam family: Bacterial small subunit ribosomal RNA
Source: RNAcentral